AAGACAUUGAAAUGAGGAAGGUGAAGACUUCCAAGCAAAAAGUUUUCAAAAUACAAAAUGCCUACAAAAAAAAGGUUACCAAGAGUAAAUCACUGGGAAAACAGAAAAAGAAUUUUCAAGGUAAUAAUAAUAAUUCUUUCUACUAUAAGCACAAGCCCUGAACUUAGAUGUUUAUUAAAUAAAUAAAUAAAUAAUUUAAUGGAUAUAGAUUAAAUUAUAGUAUUUUAGCUUCACUUAAUGUAUAUUAUGUAUUUUAUUUUAUGUAUAUUAUGUAUUUUGUUUUAAAUAUUUUGUUUUAAUUGUAUUUUAAUUUUCCAGUAAUGAUAUACUAUAGUUUGUUAUUUUUUUUAUAAGCUAAAAUAUAUUUUCAUAGAUAAAAUAAAUAUUUCUAUAUAUUUAUUUUAGUUUUAUUUACACCACGUUUUUAAUGAGAUAAAUUUAUUAUAAACACCAAGUCCUAUGUAUUAGGUUAAAAGAUUUAGUUAACAGAAUAUAUUUGAUAAGAUAUUUCGUGAUUUUGUUCAAUUUUUUAUUGAAAAUUUAUGUAUUUUUAUAUGUAUUUAUAUUUUCUUAUAAAAUAAUAUAUGUACAUUUAUUUAAUUAUUUUAUUGUUUUUAUCUUGGAUCUCAUGAGUGACUAUAUUUAAAUUGAAUUGAUUUUAUUGUUAUCAAUUUGAAAAUAUAGCCAGGAAACACGUGUAGUCAAUUUACUAAUUAUAUACUAUUCAUUUAUUAUUUCGUACUUUAUUUAGUUCUAGCUAAAUAUUUUAUUGUAUCUUUAAUUUUUUUUUCUAUAUGGUAUGAUUUAAGUAUAUCAUUGUUGAAUUACUACAUGGUGGUUCUUCUCUAAUUUGUAUACGUGUAUUAUAUAUUGUGAAAUUUGAUUUAGUAUUACUAAAUUGAAUUUUUCCCUGCAAGUUUGGAAUCAUAUUCCCUAAUAUUAUUAUUAUUACACACACACACACACAUAUAUAUAUAUAUAUAUAUAUAUAUAUAUAUAUAGGGGUUGGACAAAAUAAUGGAAACACCUUAAAAUUUCAGACAAAUUUAUUCUGAGGUAGGACCACCUUUGGCAGUAAUUACAGCUUGAAUUCUACAAGGUAUGGACUCGUACAAAGUUUGGAUUGUUUCCAAAGGAAAUUUUGUCCAUUCUUCAGCUAAAACAGUCUCCAGUUCUUGUAGUGAUGAUGGUGGAGGAUAUCAACUCCUUACUUGUUUUUCUAAAAUGCACUAUAAAUGUUCAAUAAUAUUGAGAUCUGGAGACUGUGGUGGCCAGAUAAGAUCUUCAACUUCACUAGAAUGUUCCUCAUGCCAUUCAGUAACAACUUUAGCCCUGUGAAUUGGUGCAUUAUCAUCUGGAGAGAUUGUGUUUCCCACCGGAAACAGCUCCACAACAUUAGGAUGAAUUUGAUCAAUUAAAAUGCUUGAAUAGUCUUGACUAUUAAUUCUGCUAUGAAGCAAAACCAUUGGGCUGGUGGAUUUCCAAGAUAUAGUGCCCCCAGAUCAUCACUGAUCCUCCUCCAUGUUAGAAGAAGGCAGUUAGAAGAAGGCAGUCUAGGUCAAAUGCUUCUUUUGGCUGUCUCCACACGUAUACUCGGCCAGUGAUUGGAAAUAAGGUAGAGGAUGACUUGUCCAAGAAAAUAACAUUCUUCCACUGCUCUAGGUUUUUACUCCACUCUAAAUGCUUUGCAACGUUUGUUUUUGAAAGUAGUGGUUUUCUGAUUGCAACCCUCCCAUGAAAUCUGGCUUUGUGCAGCUCUUGGCGAACAUAUUUUGUGGAAACUGGGUUCUCAAAGUGGUCAUUAAACUCUGCAGUAAUUUUGGGAGCUGUACUUUUGUGAUCCUUUCUAACAAUUCGUAUAAGAGUCUGAUAGUUCCUAUCUGAAAGUUUUGGUUUUCUCCCAGAGCUUUGUUUCGACGAGGAGGUUUUUCCCUCUAUCUCAAAGGCUGUCAUUACUUACAAGACAGUACCUCUUGAUACACCAAACAUUUUGGCUGUUUUUGUUACACUAGCACCUACCAUACAAGCACCAACAAUUUACCUUUUGAAAGUCCAAUAGAUCUGUCAUUUUAAUGAAUUUUAAUUACCUUUCUUUGAUGGUAUCUGAAAAGAAACAGCAAUUUUAGCAAAACAUAUUAAGAAGCAAUAAUAAUGAAUCAAAAAACAUAAAAAUAAACAAGCUUUUGACGGUUUUAUAGAUAUUUCAAAAUUAUGAUGCUUUGAUGGUAGGUGUUUCUAUUAUUUUGUCCAACCCCUGUAUAUACACACAUAUAUAUGUGAAACCUCUGAAGCUUAUGCUAUUGGUAGUUACUUGGACUUCACGGUCACUUCAGAAAUUUCUCUUCAUCCUCUUCCACAGGUGUUCUUUAUAGGCCCCAAAACUGGCAGAUGCUACCCAAAAAUGAAACAUCAACCUCUUGGGUUAAUUGCUUGUUAUUCUAUCAGCUUUGUCAUCUGUACCGUCAAUGAAUCUAUGUGACCUUUAGCACAAGAAUAGUAACCCUACCAUAAUCAUUAUUAUGCAUCAGCAUGAAUAUAAUCAUUUCAUCUGUUUGUAUAUAUAUAUGGGAUUACAUUUUCUAAUAUAUCCUAAUUUAAGAGGGUAGUGUGUUAUUUGAGGAAAACUUGAGCUGGUAUCAAUCAGGUCAUACACCCAUGAAGAGGCCUUUCUACUUGGCUCAAAAUAUAGUUUGUCAUGUAAAAACACAAUGAUGGAAGGUAUUUGAGUCAUGAUAGUUUCACCUUUUCUAUGUCUAGAAUCUAUGUUGAUCAAUAUAGCCUUUAUUUAAUAGUAUAGCAAGUAAUAUAUUCCUUUUACACAUUAACUUCUUGACACCUAACGCAUGUUCUCUGUCUCUCUCUCUUUCUCUACUAUAUUCCUAUUUAGCCAAGGGGAUUUUUAGUUUUAGUAAUUACAUGGCAACCUCACUAAUGUUAGUGACAUGAAAAAUGCACUCAAUACAUUCUGUAACGUGGUUGGUGCCAGGAGGAGCAUCCAGCCCUGGAAACCAUGCUAAGGCAGACAUUGGAGCUUGGUGUAGUCCUCCAACAUGUUGGUUCCUGCUGAAUUGUCCAAGUUAUGUCAGCAGGGAAGAUGGACAUUAGAUGACAGUGAUAAUUUGUGAUGAAUUUGUGAGAUAUUGCCUGUUAUUUUCAGCAGGUUAAGCUAAAACUGAAUUGUGUGUGCUUACCAAACCCUGACUUGUCUGAUGAUAAAAAUGUUUGAUAAUAAAAACAGGGUUUUCCAAUUUUUCAAUGUGUUCUAUUACUUUGUGUAAAUAUAUAUAUAUUUCAGAUAAAUCUAAAACAAGUAUAAGAAAGAAGUAAAGUUGUAUAAAAACACAAAUUAAUUAUUUUUUUAAUUUGAAAUAAGUUCUUUUUUUUUUUUCACUACCCACUAUUUAACAUAUUUUCUUUGGUGUACAAUAGCAAAAUAUUUUCCUUUUAUUGACAGCAGUGACAUAGCAUGAGUUGCCAGUACCUGGGGCAAAGCAAGUAUUGCUGGGAGGAAAAACUAUUUUCUUAUAUUUAUUAUUACCACCUUAUUUUUUACUUUUGACAUUUUGCAUCUCUGUGGCCUUUUCCACACUUCACCUCUGAUUAACAGUAAAUAUUUACUAUAAAUUAUGAGGUAAUUUGUAGAUAGUCAAUAGCUUAGUAAUAGAACAUUGAACUGGUUCAUUUCCUCGGUUCAUAACAAAACCCCUUCAACAUGUUUCAUGUAGACGGGGUUUUGUUAUGUUCUUGAAAUUAUUACUAUUUGAAAUUAAUGUUAUUGAUGCUUUUAAACUACAGGAUCAUAUCUUUUACCUGUACAUAAAUUUCUAUAGCAAUAUUCUACCAAAAAGACAUUUCAAGCAAUAAUAUUUACAACUUCAUUACUGAACCUUAUUUAAAUACAGCUACCAUGCUUGAUGUUUUGGGGAGUUUUUUUUAUAUUUGUUAAUACCUGAAUAUAAAGGUGACAGAGCAAGAAAGAGCUAUUAAAUGCCUGACUUAUUUAUGUACAUAGAUGUUUAAGAUCUAUAUUAGCACAAAGUAGAGCAAUGUAGUUAAUACAAAUAGGUCAAUUGCUUUUUAGAUCUAUAAGUUGUAUUACUAAGUUAAUAAAUAAGCCAUUAUUCACACAAUAAAAACAUUUGUAUGACUACCAAAUAAUAUUAAACUAAUCUGGCAAAUUAAUUUUUUUCAUUGUUUUUAAGAACAAAGGAAAGAGAAGCAAGUAAAAACUGAAAAGGAAUACAAUGAAAUUACGAAAGAGCUGAAGCAAUGCCUGAAUGAAAAAGAUGAGCAAGUGAAAUCUUCAAAACAACAAAUUUUAAAAAUACAAAAUGCCCAUAGACAAGAACUUACCAAGAAUAAAUCACUGGAAGAACAGAUAAAAGUUUUGAAACUUAAACAUGAAAAUAGGAUAGUCACUUUGAUAAAAUUAUUCCAGUCUCAUAUAAAUCAGUUGAAAUUUGAUCAUGAUAUGGUGUUUAGCAGAAUAAAAACUGAUUACAAUAAUUACAAGAGAAAAGUGAAUGGUAAUUCUAGUUUAACUUUUGUGUGUGUGUUUAAAUUUUAUUUCAUUUACUAUUUUCUUCUUUAAAGAAGGGCAGAAACAAUAGUUUCUAUGUUUUAUAUUGUUUAUUUUGGAAGUUGUAUUUAAAGAUAUUGAUGCUUUUAAACAAAAAGUUAAUAUAUUUUACCUGUACCUAAAUUUUUAUAGCACUGUCACUCUACCAAAGCAUCUUUCCUGGCAAUAAUGCUUGUUAUGUUGCUCCCAAGUUACAUUUAAAUGUAGUUACUGCACAUGGUAAAAUCAAAGACACUGGAAGUUUGUUUGGGUUUUUUUUUUUAAUGCCUGAAUAUGAAAAAGAUAUAUCAAGUAAUAGAUGUCAACUAUCCAAGUACUUAAUAGAAAUUUGUAUAAAUGCAACGUAAAACAAUUUAGUUUAUGUGAAACAUUCAAUUUAUUCCUAGAUUGUCACUAUCAUCAUAUAUCCAUGUUACCUUGGGCUCAAAGCAGGCAUUAUGAUCUUUUCUAAUGCUACUGCUCUUCUAAACACAGAGAACUAUGGCUUAAUUGUAUGCAGGGCUGAUUUUAAGCCAAUUAGACAGAUUUGUUCAAAUUGGGCCCCAUGCCAAGAGAGGGUCCUGUACACACACUCAAACAGAGGACAUUAUAAUGAAUUUUUAGCAUAUCUUUAUGGCUAAUGGUGGAGCCACAAGCUUUCAAUGCAUUUUGGCUGGGACUGGCAUACUACAUGAAGCAUACAACAUCAAUCUUCAGCUUGUGUAGAGUAGAGGGACCCCACUGACAAUUCUCUAAUUGGGCCCCAUGUUUCCUUGCACUGGCCCUAAUUGUAUGUUCCAUUUUUGACAUUGUUUCUACAGCUGCACAUUUUCCCUAAUUCUAAGCAUUUUACAGAGAAUACCUGAGAUAAUUUUAUCUCAACCCUACACUGUCUGUGCUUGUUUGCCAAGUCAUCAAUAAGUAGUAUUGCUAAUGUUAAUUCAAAAAAGAGGUUAUUACUCACACAAUAUUAACAAUAAGCAUGCAUUAUGAUGAUGAUGCCUAAUCACAAUUAAACUAACAUAACAUUUUAUUUUUAUCUGAUUGUCUUUCAAAUUAAAUUGAAGAGAUGUCAAAAGUUGCUUAUGCGGAUCACAAAGAAAUGGUGAAUCAACUGACCAAAUAUAUGAUUGAGAAUGAUAAGGAAUCAAAAACUUCCAAGCAAG
Molecule: long non-coding RNA, 5724 nt
Filed under: Octopus vulgaris (common octopus)
Lineage: Eukaryota; Metazoa; Mollusca; Cephalopoda; Octopoda; Octopodidae
Source: RNAcentral